This 164-nucleotide unclassified non-coding RNA is filed under the name uncultured Flagellospora. Its description in RNAcentral is "sequence contains ITS1". Lineage: Eukaryota; Fungi; Ascomycota. The record is from RNAcentral.
CAGAGAACUUGCCCUUCGGGGUAGAUCUCCCACCCUGUGUUUACGUUACCAUUGUUGCUUUGACGGGCCCGUCCCCCUGGGACCGCCGGCUCCGGCUGGCCCGUGCCCGUCAGAGGACCCCAAAAUUCUUAUUUAAACGUCGUCUGAGUACUAUAUAAUAGUUA